CCCGCGGCAGGAAGGGCUUCUGCUUCUGUGUGCAGACACGCGAACAGAAUAGUUUAUCUUCAGCAAGUCUUCCAGGUCUGAUAAAACAACCUGUAACCCUUCAUCCACGUCUGUGCGUCUUUACCCAGAAUCUUCGGACGUUUUUUUGUAGUUUUUACUAUGAACGUCGACACUGUUUGGCCUCUCUGGAUUUCGUUCAUUUCUUUUCAGUGCUGCUUUCUAGCAAAGCGAGGGAUGCGAAGUGCUUUUGUUGGGUUGGCCUAAGUGAUUUGACAUUGAAAAGAAUUUUGUCUUUUCUCUUGUCAGAGACUUGUGUUAAGAGAGUUCUCCAGUUCAUCAUGAAGUUUUGUUAAUGCUGUUUUCUAUUUAUCAAAGUAAAGACAUACUUGUUUUAUCGAUACUAGUUACCGAGGAGUUGCUCUAGGUACGUUUUAUUUUCCAAAGUAUUUCUGAAAUUGUUAUCCAAGUCUCGCAGGCUAAUCUGAAAAUAAUACAUCCAUCCACACUCCUUUUUGAUCUUCGUUUCUACAAUCUUAUUCUGACGUGUUGCUCAUACAUUAAAGUUACAGGGACUUUGUUGUUAUUCUUGUUACAAGGAAUUUGAAAGGGCUUUAAUUUGGAAAGGAUGUGGAAGACACCACACCGGACUGUAUUCUACGCUAUUAUCUCCAAUAUUUUGUAAGUGAAUUUAUAAACCAGACCGCCACGGCGGAAUCUGAGCACUAAGUAGGUAAAGGCUGAAGGCAGACCAUUUCAAGUUCAAGCCCAGUUUAGGCUAACUAAAGCUUCACAGAAACCUUGACUUAAAAAGAAAAAAAAAGAAGAAGAAGAAGAAGAACAAAAGAGUCCAUCUCUUGAGUUUCUUAAUGUUCCCGUGCUCUUGGUUAUCUUAUUAUUAAAACCCAAAAUGAAAACAAGUCCAAAGUAAAGCUUGGUAGAAAACAAGAACAAGACUCUAAAUAACCAUCUCACCUACAGGCAAAAGCCAGUCUGUGUGCUUUAUUCACAAAGCCAAGACAGGGAUUAGUGGUAAGAGAACAUUGAGCCUAAAUUAAAAACAGUGAAUGUAGAAAGC
RNAcentral lists this long non-coding RNA (1075 nucleotides) under Mus musculus (house mouse). RNAcentral's name for it is "long non-coding RNA chr3:19163289-19164364". Lineage: Eukaryota; Metazoa; Chordata; Mammalia; Rodentia; Muridae. The record is from RNAcentral.